Molecule: ribosomal RNA, 455 nt
Filed under: uncultured bacterium
Lineage: Bacteria
Description: bacterial SSU rRNA
Rfam family: Bacterial small subunit ribosomal RNA
Source: RNAcentral
UGGCUAACUCCUACGGGAGGCAGCAGUGGGGAAUCUUGCACAAUGGGGGGAACCCUGAUGCAGCGACGCCGCGUGAGCGAUGAAGGUUUUCGAAUCGUAAAGCUCUGUCCUAUGGGAAGAUAAUGACGGUACCAUAGGAGGAAGCCCCGGCUAACUACGUGCCAGCAGCCGCGGUAAUACGUAGGGGGCGAGCGUUGUCCGGAAUUACUGGGCGUAAAGGGUUCGCAGGCGGCAUGACAAGUCCGAUGUAAAAGGCGAAAGCUCAACUUUCGUAAGCAUCGGAAACUGUCAAGCUUGAGUGAAGGAGAGGCAAGUGGAAUUCCUAGUGUAGCGGUGGAAUGCGUAGAUAUUAGGAGGAAUACCGGUGGCGAAGGCGACUUGCUGGACUUCAACUGACGCUGAGGAACGAAAGCGUGGGUAGCAAACAGGAUUAGAUACCCUGGUAGUCCAGCUGG